RNAcentral lists this unclassified non-coding RNA (185 nucleotides) under rhizosphere metagenome. RNAcentral's name for it is "partial ribosomal RNA internal transcribed spacer region". The record is from RNAcentral.
GAGAACAUCGCCCUCGCGGGUGACUCUCCAACCCUAUGUUAUUGUACCUUUGUUGCUUUGGCGAGCCGCUUCGGCCACCGGCUCGCGCUGGUGAGUGCUCGCCAGAGGACCUAAAACUCUUGAAUUUAAUAUUGUCUGAGUACUAUAUAAUAGUUAAAACUUUCAACAACGGAUCUCUUGGUUCU